AGGGCGGCCACGUCAGCAGCCACGUCAGCAGGCCCAGUCAGCAGUCCCGGCCAACCAGGGCCUGCCACGUGGCAAGACCGCGUCACUCCAAAAGGAGCCACGUUGGCGAUCCGCGUGGGUGCGAUCUGACGGCCCAGAUCAAUCACGCGAUCGGACGGCCCAGAUUCAAUCGCACGGACGGCCCAGAUUCAAUCAAAAACGAACGGC
RNAcentral lists this long non-coding RNA (207 nucleotides) under Carica papaya (papaya). Its description in RNAcentral is "long non-coding RNA (CPAP_LNC015015)". The record is from RNAcentral. Lineage: Eukaryota; Viridiplantae; Streptophyta; Magnoliopsida; Brassicales; Caricaceae.